CUAGAUUUUCAACCUUAGAGGAGGAAAAAGUAGAGAUCAGUAGAAGAGAAUGGCUAAAGCAAUUAGCAAUGCAUCCAUGGUCUUGACAGUUCUGAUGUUGUCUUUUCUCCUUGUAGUCUCUUUCGCUGAAAGCCGAUCUCUUGAAGGAAUCCUACAGCCUCCCACUGUGAAAUGUGAUUUAGUGUACGGUGUGAAAGCUGGAGACACCUGUUUUGAAAUUGCUGAGGCUUUUAACUUGCCUGCCAAGUUCUUCAGUUCCAUCAAUCCCAAUCUCAACUGCAAAGCCCUCUUCGUAGGCCAAUGGGUUUGUCUUGAUGGAGAAUUAUCUUCUUAAGCAGCAUGCUGAUGCUCAUAGUUCUUGUCUUCUUGAUACUCCAUUAAUGAAUAAUCAUUAUAAGAAUAAUGAAUAAAGAGAUUAUAAGAACUAAUCACGUACUCUACCUUAUUGCACAACUCCAUUUUCCAAGUACUGUAAUGUAUUUUUCUGUUCGGUGUUGGAAUAAAAA
Long non-coding RNA from Argentina anserina (silverweed cinquefoil), 506 nucleotides. RefSeq lists it as uncharacterized. The record is from RefSeq and is a predicted model, not a curated record. The transcript is spliced from 2 exons. Lineage: Eukaryota; Viridiplantae; Streptophyta; Magnoliopsida; Rosales; Rosaceae.